CUCAAAAUUAUUAUGCCAAAGAUGUAAUUCAUCUCUGAUUCCACGUCAAAGCUUUUAGCACCCUGGGGAGUCAAGACUGGAAUCUCGAAUCUCUGCCUUGACAGCCCUCUUUCUGCCAUAUGACGAACUUGAAUUAUGGAUAUUGGGGAAGAAGACUGCAGAGGUGAAGUCAUGUCAAGGAGAUUCUACAUACACCAACACUGAGACCCAGAGAUCUGGUGACUUUCCUAGGUCACCCCGCAGUUAAUACUAUGGAACUGGAUGCCUACUCACUUGACCUUCGACCUUCAGCUUGUGGUAGCCCUAAAAGGGUUGCCAGUUCACUCUUACAACUUUGCCCCAGGCUGAGGAAAGAACUGACUCCAAAAUGUGUUCUGACAAUGACAUCGUCACAAAGCUUCGGAACUCAACUGUGCGGUUUGCUGAGGUUUUUGUUAAGACUGCAGUGGUAGCCCAACAUCUCCCUUCAUCCACUCCUCUUAUUUUCCUUCUUUCCUCAGGUGUUGAUCAAGAGAACCUCUAAUAAACUUCCUACAUGC
Delphinapterus leucas (beluga whale) is the source of this 539-nucleotide non-coding RNA. Lineage: Eukaryota; Metazoa; Chordata; Mammalia; Artiodactyla; Monodontidae. The record is from RefSeq and is a predicted model, not a curated record.